GCCUUCAUGCUGUAACUGGGUAACACAUCCGGCUGGUAAUUGGGAGGUCCAAUGUUCGAAUCUGUGUGAGGGUA
This 74-nucleotide transfer RNA is filed under the name Stegodyphus mimosarum. It matches the Rfam family "tRNA". From Rfam's summary of the family: Transfer RNA (tRNA) molecules are approximately 80 nucleotides in length. Their secondary structure includes four short double-helical elements and three loops (D, anti-codon, and T loops). Lineage: Eukaryota; Metazoa; Arthropoda; Arachnida; Araneae; Eresidae. The record is from Rfam by way of RNAcentral.